GCUGGGUGCAAUGGAGUGUGCCUCCACACUCAGCUACUCAGGAGGCUGAGGUGGCAGGAUCACUUGAGCCCAGGAGUUCUAGGCUGUAGGGCACUAUGACAAUUGGGUAUCCACAUUAAGUUUGACAUUGAUAUCGUGACCCCUCAGGAGCAGGGGACCACCAGGUUGCCUAAGGAGGGGUGAACCAGCCCAGGUGGGAAACAGAGGAAUCCAAAACUCCCAUGCUGAUCCGUAGUGGCAUCGCCUUGUGAGUAGCCAGUCCACUCCAGCCUGGGCAACAUAGGGAGACCCCGUCUCUA
This is an unclassified non-coding RNA of Pongo abelii (Sumatran orangutan), 299 nucleotides long. It matches the Rfam family "Metazoan signal recognition particle RNA". From Rfam's summary of the family: The signal recognition particle (SRP) is a universally conserved ribonucleoprotein. It is involved in the co-translational targeting of proteins to membranes. The eukaryotic SRP consists of a 300-nucleotide 7S RNA and six proteins: SRPs 72, 68, 54, 19, 14, and 9. The record is from Ensembl. Lineage: Eukaryota; Metazoa; Chordata; Mammalia; Primates; Hominidae.